UACGUAGGCAGCGAGCGUUGUUCGGAGUUACUGGGCGUAAAGGGUGUGUAGGCGGUUGUUUAAGUUUGGUGUGAAAUCUCCCGGCUCAACUGGGAGGGUGCGCCGGAUACUGAGGGGCUAGAGUGCGGGAGGGGAAAGUGGAAUUCCUGGUGUAGCGGUGAAAUGCGUAGAUAUCAGGAGGAACACCGGUGGUGCAAACGGCUUUCUGGACCGUAACUGACGCUGAGACACGAAAGCGUGGGGAGCAAACAGG
This 253-nucleotide ribosomal RNA is filed under the name uncultured bacterium. RNAcentral describes it as "partial 16S ribosomal RNA". It matches the Rfam family "Bacterial small subunit ribosomal RNA", at positions 524 to 776 of the family's 1533-position model. The record is from RNAcentral.